GACGAACGCUGGCGGCGUGCUUAACACAUGCAAGUCGAACGAUGAAGCCGGAGCUUGCUCCGGUGGAUUAGUGGCGAACGGGUGAGUAACACGUGAGCAAUCUGCCCUUGACUCUGGGAUAACUGCGGGAAACUGUAGCUAAUACCGGAUACGACACCUUGGGGCAUCCCAGGGUGUGGAAAGAAUUUCGGUCAAGGAUGAGCUCGCGGCCUACCAGCUAGUUGGUGAGGUAAUGGCUCACCAAGGCGACGACGGGUAGCCGGCCUGAGAGGGUGACCGGCCACACUGGAACUGAGACACGGUCCAGACUCCGACGGGAGGCAGCAGUGGGGAAUAUUGCACAAUGGGCGAAAGCCUGAUGCAGCAACGCCGCGUGAGGGAUGAAGGCCUUCGGGUUGUAAACCUCUUUUAGCAGGGAAGAAGCGAAAGUGACGGUACCUGCAGAAAAAGCACCGGCUAACUACGUGCCAGCAGCCGCGGUAA
Molecule: ribosomal RNA, 483 nt
Filed under: uncultured bacterium
Lineage: Bacteria
Description: partial 16S ribosomal RNA
Rfam family: Bacterial small subunit ribosomal RNA
Source: RNAcentral